Molecule: ribosomal RNA, 377 nt
Filed under: uncultured Gammaproteobacteria bacterium
Lineage: Bacteria; Pseudomonadati; Pseudomonadota; Gammaproteobacteria
Description: bacterial SSU rRNA
Rfam family: Bacterial small subunit ribosomal RNA
Source: RNAcentral
UAAUACGGAGGGUCCAAGCGUUAAUCGAAAUUACUGGGCGUAAAGCGCGCGUAGGCGGUUUAGAAAGUUGGAUGUGAAAUCCCCGGGCUCAACCUGGGAACUGCGUUCAAAACUCCUAAGCUAGAGUACGAGAGAGGGAAGUAGAAUUUCUGGUGUAGCGGUGAAAUGCGUAGAUAUCAGAAGGAAUACCAAUGGCGAAGGCAGCUUCCUGGAUCGUAACUGACGCUAAGGUGCGAAAGCGUGGGUAGCAAACAGGAUUAGAUACCCUGGUAGUCCACGCCGUAAACGAUGACAACUAGCCGUUGGGCAGAAUUGACUGUUCAGUGGCGCAGCUAACGCAUUAAGUUGUCCGCCUGGGGAGUACGGCCGCAAGGCUA